CCUGGGUUGGUGUAGUGGUAACAUUUCCAUUGGCAACGGGUAGGAGGCUAUAAAGCUGAACUUACUUGCCCUUCGGGGGGUGGAAGACUCAGGUUCAAAUCCUGAACUCGGGG
This is a non-coding RNA of Fusarium culmorum, 113 nucleotides long. The record is from the annotation of a GenBank genome assembly. Lineage: Eukaryota; Fungi; Ascomycota; Sordariomycetes; Hypocreales; Nectriaceae.